ACUCCGCAAUGCACGAAAGUGUGACGGGGCUACCCGAGUGCCGUCCGCUGAGGAUGGCUUUUCUCCGCUGUAAGGAGGCGGAGGAAUAAGGAGAGGGCAAGUCUGGUGUCAGCCGCCGCGGUAAUACCAGCUCUCCGAGUGGUAGGGAUGAUUAUUGGGCUUAAAGCGUCCGUAGCCAGCCCCUCAAGUCUCUCCGUCAAAUCCAACGAUUCAAUCGCUGGACUGCGGGAGAUACUGUAGGGCUAGGGGGCGGGAGAAGCCGACGGUAUUUCCGGGGUAGGGGUAAAAUCCAAUAAUCCCGGGAAGACCACCAGUGGCGUAGGCGGUCGGCUAGCACGCGCCCGACGGUGAGGGACGAAAGCUGGGGGAGCGAACCGGAUUAGAUACCCGGGUAGUCCCAGCCGUAAACGAUGCGGGCUAGGUGUUGGGGCGGCCACGAGCCGCUUCAGUGCCGCAGGGAAGCCAUUAAGCCCGCCGCCUGGGGAGUACGGCCGCAAGGCUGAAACUUAAAGGAAUUGGCGGGGGAGCACCACAAGGGGUGAAGCAUGCGGUUUAAUUGGAGUCAACGCCGGGAACCUUACCGGGGGCGACAGCAGAGUGAAGCCAGAUUGA
This 612-nucleotide ribosomal RNA is filed under the name uncultured crenarchaeote. RNAcentral's name for it is "bacterial SSU rRNA". It matches the Rfam family "Archaeal small subunit ribosomal RNA", at positions 347 to 962 of the family's 1478-position model. Lineage: Archaea; Thermoproteati; Thermoproteota. The record is from RNAcentral.